GCCCCCGUGGUGGAACUGGUAAACACAUCGGUCUUUAAAACCGACGCCUCGCACGGGCUUGUGGGUUCGAAUCCCACCGGGGGCAC
RNAcentral lists this transfer RNA (86 nucleotides) under bacterium MnTg02. RNAcentral's name for it is "tRNA-Arg". It matches the Rfam family "tRNA". From Rfam's summary of the family: Transfer RNA (tRNA) molecules are approximately 80 nucleotides in length. Their secondary structure includes four short double-helical elements and three loops (D, anti-codon, and T loops). Further hydrogen bonds mediate the characteristic L-shaped molecular structure. tRNAs have two regions of fundamental functional importance: the anti-codon, which is responsible for specific mRNA codon recognition, and the 3' end, to which the tRNAs corresponding amino acid is attached (by aminoacyl-tRNA synthetases). tRNAs cope with the degeneracy of the genetic code in two manners: having more than one tRNA (with a specific anti-codon) for a particular amino acid; and 'wobble' base-pairing, i.e. permitting non-standard base-pairing at the 3rd anti-codon position. The record is from RNAcentral.